This 88-nucleotide transfer RNA is filed under the name Delitschia confertaspora ATCC 74209. It matches the Rfam family "tRNA". Rfam says of the family: Transfer RNA (tRNA) molecules are approximately 80 nucleotides in length. The record is from Rfam by way of RNAcentral. Lineage: Eukaryota; Fungi; Ascomycota; Dothideomycetes; Pleosporales; Delitschiaceae.
GGUCGAUUAGCUCAGCUGGUUAGAGCGUGGUGCUAAUAGUUAUCACUUGUUAACGCCAAGGUCGUGGGUUCGAUCCCCACAUUGACCU